UUAUGUGCUUUUUAUUUUUAUUUCUGCCUUCAGUAUUUAUUCCAUGAAGGAUAAUGUUGUGAAAGGCAUGUCCUGGAGAUGUAUUUAGUAUUGAUAAGGGAGAAUAAGAAAGAGCCAGAGUAAUAUGAUAGGAAUGCUCUCAUUUACAUUUACUGAAGUUACAGGUUACCCAUACAAGUGCUGUACCUUGAAAGCAACUGCUGUGUUAAAAAAGCAAGGUAUUCUUUUGAUAUAAAGUAAGAAACAUUAAGACCAACUAUUUGUGGUUCUUUCAAUUGUAUGAUAAUCAAUACAAACUAAAUAGGUAUUACUACAUGUUAAAAUACUGUAAAAAUUUUGCAGUGGAGCAAAGAAAUCCAUAGUAAAUAUAAGAUUUGGAAUUCAGCUUCCAUUUUAAUUCUGUAGGCAUGUAAUUAAAAAGAUAAAUAUUUUAGUUAAUAGCUGGACAUUCUAAAAUGUGCUCUUCUGGAACAUAAUUAUUUCCCCCAAGCCCAUUCUGGAAGAUUGGUAAGAUGCAGCAGAGGUCAGAGAAGACUGAGAACUCACUUGAAAUAGAAAGAUCAAAGUGAGACUAUAUGACUUAUUGAGGUUUGCAUCAGAAGUAGAGCUGAAUUUGAAGGCUGCAUUUUACUUGAGAAUAUCUUUUAUUUGUAUAUAACUAAACAUUAGCAGCCUCGUUGUUUGAGAAAAAUAAAUGCUCUGCUACUUGAUAUCCAUUCAUGCACCAUUACACUUUUAAAAUCCAAGCAUCUUGGUCAGAAAACAGAGCAGGGAUGGAAGGCUACAGUCUAUUUACUUUGCAGUUGCAGUAUUUUAAACCUAGCAGUCAUGGGAGCUUAUUACUUUGAGGAGUGCUUUUUUUCUCUUGUGACUUUUACCUCCCUCUGUUAUCCUAUUGAGUUCUGAUUCUCAGUGUCAUAAACGCAAAGUGCUAAUACAAGAAAAGAAGAAAUGUUAGGACAUGCUGUUUGUGUCAAACUCAAGGCCCAGUCUGUGCGAUAGUCUGUCUCUAUCAAGUUUUAUUGUUUAAGAAAUCCGGAAUAGCCGAGGAUUAGAUAAUCUUUCCACCGCUAUAAUGUGAUGAUUUCAAAUAACAAGAACUCACAUGAGUUUUAAUAUCCAUCCUGAAACCAGCAAAGUAUUUUCUAACUGAGUAUUCAUGGUAGAGAUAUGAUAGUUACACAGUCUCAUCCUCUUCUUGAAUGUGGGCAAAUCCUAGAGGUUUUUGAGGCUGUGUGCAAUUCUCUUUGUAUUAGCUUUGAGUACAGUACUCUGAUUAAUACACAUUAUUGACUGUACACUUGUUCUUGUAUUAAAGUUCUGCUUCAAAAGAAGAACCACACUGCAGUAUGAUAAUAUAGCUUCCAGUGCUCACUGACCCCUUUUUUUUUUUUUUUAUUUGAACACAUGCGUAUAGCCACAUGUCUGCGGUGUUUCAGUACCCCUUCAGACAUUUUCUGGUGACCCAGAAUUCCUACAGAGAGCGUAAAGUAGUUUCAGAUCCCAGAGUUCACACAUCAGUCAAAGAUGCUGACUGUGCAGCCGGGUAAACUCUUGGUUAUGGGGCAAGGAGAACAGGAGAUCUGAUCUUAAUUUCUAAAUCCUUUUAUGAUUGUAGAAGAAAUAAAAAUUAGUCUUUUUUUUUUUUUUUUAAACUCAUAUAUCUUUCAUCUCUCAUGUAAACAAAUUUCAGUCUUUCCAGAUUCUUAUCUCAUCAGAGACUUUCUGUGCUCUUGAUCUCUGUCAGGCUUGAAGUUUGCUAUUUCCGUCUGAGGCACAAAAAAGGAAACUGCUUUGCCUGAAAGCAUGUCUGAGUAGUUUCCAUGGAACCAGCCACUUUGAGAAUGUUACCUGUUUUCCAGCUUUGCCUCAUGUGGUAGUUCUUACCCCUUAACCUUUGUUUCUGUAUCCUUCUUUCUGAGUGUUAGCGCUGAGUAUGGUCUUUCUUUAAUACAACUGCCGGCUUUGACUGUUUUUGUACAAAAAUUGGCAGUUGCAGGUAAGCACGAACAGUGCCACUUCAAUAAUUCUCAAUGUCUCCCUGAGGAUAAGUUGGUAUCUUGCCAUAGCUCUCCACUGAACCUUUGGCUGCUGAAAAAUACCUCUGUUUCUGUGGUUUAGUGUGGUUACAUCAGUUGUUGUCUGCAGCUUAAAUAGCUUGCUUUCCUCUAAUUAUUCUUAACUGAUCUUUUCAGUAAUGUGGUUUACAACCCUUUCCUUCCCUGUAUUUCAUCUAAACAUCUGGUAGGAUUACAGGAGAGGCAGAAGUAGGGACUGUUGGCAGGCAUUUCUUAGAUUGGCUUUGCUGCAAGAACAAAUGAAUUCUUUUAGGCUGCCAGCACAACAUCUGUGAGCCAAAUGGUCAUUUGAAGAGUGAGAAGGGAAACAGUUUAAUCAGUUAGGACCAGGUAUCUUUCUUUCAUUAUUCACGUAGUGAAGAAAAGACGUGUCUAAUGGUACAUGUCAAUUUUGAUGCAUUAGUGUACCAUGGAUAGAUUUUCAUCAUUAUUUCACACUUACUUAUUUUGAGCAAGUGGUAAGUGUAUUCUCCAAGUUCUCUAUUUUCUGUAUUUCCUAAGCUAUGAAUCAUUCAUAUUUUUUCCUGCAGGUAUAUCUCUUGUGACUGGGUGACUGUCACCUUGGCAGUGGUUUGGAAUUAAUUCAUCAGCUGUGAGUGGCAAGUCAGGCAGGCAUUUUUUUUUCUACUUAUCAGCAAUUAAUUCUUCACUAAAGGUCACUGAGCUGAAAUCAAAACUACUAGUUUCUUUCCCUAUGUUGCCUGCAGUUUCAUACAGCAUCUGUGAAGACCACUGUGAAGUGCUCAGUUUUAUGUAGGUCUUCUUCUGCCCUGACCACAGCUAAGUUUAAAAUUGAGUCUUAUUUCACAUUUUUCUACACUGAGUAUGUCAGAAGUCAUCUACUGCAUAGAUCACAGUCUGUUUUUUCACUUUUUGUACAAUGCCCACAAAAAUAAUCCCUGUUAAUAAUGAGGUAUUAUUACGGUCAGAAUAAAUAAUUUUGUGUUGUGGAUAUUGCAAUUGGGCAUGGUAAUUUGAUAAGAAAAAAAAACUGAGACUGGUUAAAAAAUGGUUUUCUCAUUAAAGAUUGUACCAGAUUAUUUUUUUCCAACAUGAAUCCAUAUACCUACACUGUAUAACUACUGUAUUAUUUAUACUGCAUUUCUCAAUUUAUUUCUUGUGCCUAGAAUGAGGAAAAGUGGACAAAAACAUAUUGUUUCUGUUUCAGAAACAUCUUCUUGCUAUAAUAAUAUAAUGCAAAUGUUUGCCAUUGCAAAAGUACUCGAAGUCCUGGGACUUAUUGAUGAUCAGUCAUUCAGAGGUGACUUCUGAGGCUUUCUGAGACCUUCUAUUUCUGUAUGUUUCUAGGCCUUCUGAUUCAUAGGAAUUCUGGAUGCUUGUUAGGAUUAGAACAGUUACAGUAUAUGCCACUAAUUUUAUUUUUUUCAAUCACAAAAUGACAGAAGGUUUGAGGCUGGCAUAGGUCCAUCUGUCCUAACCUCUGCUACAGCAGGAGCACCCAGAGCAGAUUACCCAGGUCCAUGUCCAAGAGGCUUCUGCAGAUUUACAAAGAGGAGACUCUGUGGCCUUUCUGGGCAGCCUGUGCCAGUGUUCCAUCACCCAAACAUCACAGGAGUGCUGCUUGACUGUCAGAGUGAACUUCCUGUGCUCCAGAUUGUGCCCAUUGUGUCUUGUUCUGGCAUAAGGCACCACUGAAAUGAGCCUGGGAUCCAUCCUCUUUGCACUCUCUCUUCAGGUACUUAUGGAUAUGGAUGAGAUCCCCCUGAGCCUCCUUUUCUCCAGGCUGAGCAGUCACAGCUCUUUCAGCCUCUCCUCAGAGGAGAAGUGCUGCAGGUACUUCAACAAUUUUUUAACCCUAUGCUGGACUCACUCCAGGAUGUCCAGAUCUCUCUUUUUACUGGGGGAGCCAAAAACACAGGACUCCAGGUGUGGUCUCACCUAUGCUAGUAGACCUGCUGACAGCACUUUGCCUGAUACAGUCCAGUAUACCAUUGCUGUCAGCAGCAAAGGCACAUUGCUGGCUAUGCUCAAGUUGGUGGCCAUCAGGAUCCCAGAUCCUUCCCUGCAGAGCUCCUUCUAGCUGAGUGCCACUAUCAUGUCCUGGUUCCUGGGGUUGUUCCCCACCAGGUGCAGGACUUUGCACUUUUGCUUGUUGAACUUGAUGAGGUUCCUGCCAGCCGAUAUCUCCAGCUUGUCCAGAUACAGAACAUAAUUCUGAAUUGGAAUGGACCUAUAAGGAUCAUUGUGUUCAUGUUCUGGCUCUUUACAGGAUGACCUGAAAUCCAAACCCAAAGUCUAAGAGCACUGUCCAAAUGCUUCUGAAACUCUGUCAGCUUGGUGCAGUUACCCUUGGGAGCCUGUUCCAGUGCCUGACUGCCUUCUCAGCAAGGAACCUCUUCCUAACACCUGUUUAACACUCUCAUUUAAUGCAGCUUCAUGUUUAUUGCAUUCAACUCCAGGAUCCCCAGCAUAACUAAGAUCUGGAGCUAUUGGAGCAAGUUCAGAGAAGGCCAUAAGAAAGCUUGGAGUUUUUCAGUGGACAAAUGGUGAGGGAGAUGUCUUGUUUAGCUUGCAGAAGAGAAGGCUGAGAGGGUGUGAAGCAGUGGCACAGGCUGCCUAAAGAAGCUGUGCACGGCCCAUCUUUGAAGCUGUUCAAGGACAGAUUGGAUCAGGCUCUGUACAAACUGGACUAGUGGGAAAUGUCCCUGUCAAUGGCAGGAUGUUGGAACUGGGUGGUCUUUAAAUUUCCUUCAAGCUGAAACCAUACUGCAGUUCCAUUGGGUCCUAUUUCUGAGAGAUCAUCAUUGCUGUUAUGAGAAAGCUGUAGACUAGAUACCCUUUCAGUGCAGCACGACCUCCUGGUCCAUCUGCCACUCCUACCUCUUUUGUGUCAACAGCAGACUGCUGAGGAUGUACUCUGCAAUCAUCCAGAUCAUUAAUGAAGAUGUUAGACAGGACUUGGACCCAGUGUUGGCCCCUGGGCCUCCAGCUAGGCUUCGUACUGCACAUCACCACUCUGCAGCUAUUCAGCCAAUUAUUAGUCCACCUCUCUGCCUGUCCUUCCAGUCCCCUACAUCAACAACUAGAUGGACAGGAAUGGCAUUCCCUCGAUGGAAAGGAGAUACCUUCAAAAUAGGGAACAAUAUUCUUUCUGGUUUUCAUUAUUUAUUAUUGGGGUUGUUGGUUUUUGUUUCUUGUUUUUGAAAUGUAGGGUUAUAAAAUCCAGGUUUUUUGAGUACUUACAGUUUGAUUAGUCCUAGGAAUUGUCAUGAAAACAGCUAUGAAACUGUUUUAAAGUGUUGUUUAACAGUGCAAGAAAUUGCUUCAUGUGGGGUAAAGAGGAUAUACUAUAUGUUUAAGUACAGGAAAAUACCAAAAACUCUGUGGAUUGCCUUUGUAAUGGAUUCAAAAAAUAUUUUCAUAUUUCUCUACAGCAAUUGAAAGGUACAGUAAAAGGUACAUGGAUGAUGAAAAGGAGCAUUCAGCAUGGACCCCAGGUAAUAAUGGAGAAUACCAAAGGCUGUUUUGCUAUUAGCCUGGGUAAUCUGUUCUUCUGAAAUGUUUGAUUCCAAAUUUUUGAAGUAUUAAAAUAGUACAUGCAUUCUUAACAAGGCAUGUAUUCCUUGUUGAGGGUUAUGCCCUUUUCCUGCUUUCAGAUCAAAGGGAAGAAUUGUUUUGUCUAGAAAAGAAUAAAUAAAUGUGAUUUUAUUUUUUCUCAUUCAAAACAACAAUUCUCAUAAAAAAUGCAAGCUUGAUCUCUAUAGCUUUCCUUCUGUUGUUUCCCAUGCACAUACCAGUUUUGAACUGGGAGAAAAUAUAAAAGUUACUAAAAAACACCACCAACAUAGUUUCCCAGUCAUCGGUAAAUUGAUUUUAUGACAUUAAACUUUCACAAAUAUAUCUGAAUAGGUAAAUACUGCAUACUUGAUGAUUCUAUGUAAUUUAGAGGGACACUGGAAGGGCUGAACUUUGAUGAAGGUAGAUGCCAGUUUUCAUUAACGGUGUAAAAUUCUGGUCCUCAUUAUACUUCAUCACCUAAAGGACAGCUGAAAUUCGGCAUAAUUGUUGGGAUUCAGCAAAAUCGUUGGGUGCUUAAGCAAUUAGACUUAUAAACCCUAUAUGACCCUAUGUGACAAUUAGUCUUAAGUCUAAUCAUGGAACCAAGCACAACAGGGGCAGUCUUGCUGAGUGAGAGGAGGAGGAUUACUGCUGUAAAUAACUGUUUAUAAGUAUUAAAGCUACUUUCUGUACAGAUUGGAGAAGUCUUCCAAGAGAGAUGAAGCCAAGGAAAAAGAUGAAAAAAGCUUUCUUCUGCAGAAUUGUGAACCAGAUCCUUCAACAGCAGUUGGUAUUGAUUGCUCUUUAAGCAAAAGAAAUCUUUUUACUGCACAGCAUCAGAAGUGUAUUCAUUUUUUAAAGUGUUUUCCAGUAUGCAUGACUAUUAUCUUUAGUUCUCUAUAGAAGUCUGUCUCUUUGUUGAUGUGAAACAACACUUGGCCUCCUGUAUCUAGCUGUCUGUUACAUACAGUUGUUUACUUUCUUGCUCUCUUUGUCCAAGUCCUUCAUAUGUCAUUUUUCAGUUCAAGGAUAAAAUAGAAAAAGGAAGGGGAAUGUGCAGUAGUCAUGGAGACUGGCUCAGCUGGAAGCUUAUUUUCUUUUAAGAGCGUCAUUGAGAAGCAUGGUAAUAAAGGUAGACAUCAAGAUUCAAUAGAAAUUAACUACUUAUUUGCAAAAUCCCUCAAGAAGAAACGAGUACAUAUCCAUUUUCUUUUUUAAAAAAGAAGAAACUGUGCUGGCUUUUCUAAGCCUACAGCUUAGAAGCUGUAGCUUCCCAAGAUUCCAUGAAAUCACAAAUGCCAAUCCAGUACCCCCUUAAUAUACUAACAUACUAAUUAUCACAAAGAAUCACCGAUCAAUGUAUUCUUUGUUUCCACUGUCUUUAGUGCAUGUUUCUCAAUUUGCUCUUGAAAGUACUUUCCUUACUUAAUUGUAUCAGAUAAGAUAAGCUGACCACCCGCAUUUGAUUGGGUAGAAAACCUUUCUCUAAAAGCAAAAAUAAUGAGGUUUCAGGGCUUUUAUUUUAGGGGAAUCUUGGUGGUAUGGAAAUCAUACCAAAGUCAUGUUACUUUUUGUUUUGAUUACAGCCAUGUUAGGUGACAAUUCAUAAUAGAGUGGAACAAAGUUGAGGGAGUAAAGUGAAUUUUAUCUGCACUGAGAUACAAACAGGUUCCCUAUCAUCAAAGAUCACAGGAGUGGUUUUUGGGUCACUUCACAGUUAUAUGUACAGGGCUGGCUUCAUUUUGACCCCCUGUAAAGACUUCCCUGAGUGUUUUAACUUAACACCUUGCCACGUCUUUUACUGACAUAACUUCCAGUAGGGUUUCAUAUCUCUCCCACACUUAGGCUGGGCUGUGGACCACAAUAUCUGAAAUAUCCAAAACAAACAAACAAAAACAAAAACACCAAAACCCAAAACAAAACCCACAGGCAGUAAGCUGACUGGCUUCAGCUCCUACAGGUCAGCUGCAUGCACAUGUAAACAGCAAUCAGAUUUACUCAAGAAAGCCAAAUCACUGUAGGAACAGCAGUUUAACAGAAAAUAGAUUGUAUUGCCUUGCAUCUCAAAGCAACAUGUAUGUAAAGAGCUAUUUCACUUAGUUCUACAUUCAAAUGGUGGGCAUCUGUAAUAUUACAGUUAGUUCCAGUGAUUCCCACCAUUUAGUGAAGGCUUUUGCAUAUCUUUUUUACUUCCAAGCUGUUUAUAGACGUUAUCUCUAAAAGUCUGUAGGUGUUUGUGCAGAGAUGAUCAUUUUGAAUCACACUUGUUUUCUCUGAAGGCCUCCUUCAUUCUGGAUGUGUUUGCUUUGAUGUAUGUGUUCAUAUAUCAUUACAGAGCAGCUUGGCUUCCCUCAGCUGUGUGUGGUGCUUUUGUUGCUUAAACUCUUUACUGGCAAAAUACCGAAAUGAACAGGGUGUUAUUUAUGACAAAUGCUUUUGAGAAAAUGCAGUUCUUUUCUUAGCAGCUUUUAGUGUUCCGUUUCCUUAGGUAUUAGGCCAAAUAAAAUACAUAUGACUUUGGACUACUGUCUGCUCCAAAAAAGCUAUGUCCUCCUUCCAUCAACACAUACUAAUUUUCUUUCUCAUUACAUUUAGUGUACUGUAGUUUAAAAAUAAUAAAAAAACAAACAAACAAGGGUGCAUGUUAUAUAACUACCUGGUCUGUAGCUAUCCAGCCAUUGUGUUAGGUACAACCCUAAGGUGUAAGUUUUAUGCAGGGCUGCAUGGUACAGCAAGAGGGUGGAAAAACUGGUAUAUCAUGGAAACAGGACAUCUAUAGCUAUGCUAUAUUUCUCAACACAGAGCUCUUUGUUUUUGCCUGUCAAAUGCACUCCUGGAACUGAGACAGGUGUUGGAGUGUUGCAAUUCAGGUGGCUCUUACCUGGUUAUGGAGUCAUACCUUCAACCUUUGCUCCACCAUACAAUUAAGGAGGGUGAGAGUGAACUGUAGGAGGCAACUUGAUAAAGGCUGUGUCCAUGUAAGAGUCACAACUGGUCCAACAGCCAUUUAACUGCAGUGACCUCAUUACCCCAGGGGAGCUCACAAACUCUUCUGUCUGCCUUUUUUUUCACUUGAAAAAAACACAAAAAACAACCUGUCUAAAUUGUACUGCUGUCACUAUUUUGUGCAUACAUUUUAUCUCCUCAGAUGAUAAAAAAUGACAGCAUAUUUGUGAGUUUGUUUUUUUUUCCUAAUGUCUUAAUUUAUUGUGGGUAAGUGAAAAGCAUUUUGUGAAGCUAAGUGCUAUAGUCUGAUAAAACCUUCCGUCAAAUAUCUGUAUGAAAAGAAUUUCAAACUGGCCCUGUAGAUAUCACUUAGAUGAAUCAGGCUAUGUGAGUGAUGGAGCUCAGAGCUGAAGUAAUUGUAGCACAGAGAGUAUAAGAUUUUUGUGGCAGUUACUAUUCUUAAGAUAGGAGCUCUUAGAAGCACAUAAAAGGAUUCCUGUUAUUUCAUAUGCAAGAAAAAAAUAAUAGCUAUGUACUUCAUUUCAGCAGGUGCAAAACCAAAAAAGGCAAAGAAUUCUGAGCCUAAAAGUAACUUGGAUGUGUUGAAAAAAAUUGAGGAGCUGGAAAAGAAGGAUGAUGAAGAAGAAAAAUCUGAUGAUGAGAAAGACAG
Molecule: non-coding RNA, 9213 nt
Organism: Coturnix japonica (Japanese quail)
Lineage: Eukaryota; Metazoa; Chordata; Aves; Galliformes; Phasianidae
Source: RefSeq, a predicted model, not a curated record